RNAcentral lists this ribosomal RNA (728 nucleotides) under Enterococcus sp. RNAcentral's name for it is "bacterial SSU rRNA". It matches the Rfam family "Bacterial small subunit ribosomal RNA", at positions 51 to 750 of the family's 1533-position model. The record is from RNAcentral. Lineage: Bacteria; Bacillati; Bacillota; Bacilli; Lactobacillales; Enterococcaceae.
AUACAUGCAAGUCGAACGCUUCUUUUUCCACCGGAGCUUGCUCCACCGGAAAAAGAAGAGUGGCGAACGGGUGAGUAACACGUGGGUAACCUGCCCAUCAGAAGGGGAUAACACUUGGAAACAGGUGCUAAUACCGUAUAACAAUCAAAACCGCAUGGUUUUGAUUUGAAAGGCGCUUUCGGGUGUCGCUGAUGGAUGGACCCGCGGUGCAUUAGCUAGUUGGUGAGGUAACGGCUCACCAAGGCCACGAUGCAUAGCCGACCUGAGAGGGUGAUCGGCCACAUUGGGACUGAGACACGGCCCAAACUCCUACGGGAGGCAGCAGUAGGGAAUCUUCGGCAAUGGACGAAAGUCUGACCGAGCAACGCCGCGUGAGUGAAGAAGGUUUUCGGAUCGUAAAACUCUGUUGUUAGAGAAGAACAAGGAUGAGAGUAACUGUUCAUCCCUUGACGGUAUCUAACCAGAAAGCCACGGCUAACUACGUGCCAGCAGCCGCGGUAAUACGUAGGUGGCAAGCGUUGUCCGGAUUUAUUGGGCGUAAAGCGAGCGCAGGCGGUUUCUUAAGUCUGAUGUGAAAGCCCCCGGCUCAACCGGGGAGGGUCAUUGGAAACUGGGAGACUUGAGUGCAGAAGAGGAGAGUGGAAUUCCAUGUGUAGCGGUGAAAUGCGUAGAUAUAUGGAGGAACACCAGUGGCGAAGGCGGCUCUCUGGUCUGUAACUGACGCUGAG